AAGUCGUAACAAGGUUUCCGUAGGUGAACCUGCGGAAGGAUCAUCAACAAAUCCCUCUAAAUACUCAAAACACACCUUUGUGCUCAAAACCCCCUAUAAAUCUAUGCUCUUCUCCGGUCACUUGCUGAUCAAGUGUAUGGUUUGAAUGAGAUCGUCAUUGGUUGUACGAUCCUUCCAUGCAUGAGUUGAGUGUAGGUUUUUUUUUCCCUUACAACCAAAAAAACAACAACAUAAACUCCAAAAAACACAAUCUUUAUCUAUCUGUUUCUGUUUUUUGUUUUUUUUUUCUUUUCAUCUUGUAUGCACACUCGUGUGUAUAUAAUGUGAAAAAAAAAGGAAAUAAAAAUAUAAAAAAACUUGAAAACAACUUUUAACAAUGGAUCUCUUGGUUCUC
Molecule: unclassified non-coding RNA, 394 nt
Filed under: fungal sp.
Lineage: Eukaryota; Fungi
Description: partial internal transcribed spacer region
Rfam family: Eukaryotic small subunit ribosomal RNA (bases 1-46)
Source: RNAcentral